AGAGUUUGAUCNUGGCUCAGGAUGAACGCUAGCGGCAGGCCUAAUACAUGCAAGUCGAACGGUGUCUUCGGACAUAGUGGCGCACGGGUGCGUAACACGUAUGCAACCUACCUUACAUUGGGGGAUAGCCUUUCGAAAGGGAGAUUAAUACCGCAUAAGACAGUAACUAGGCAUCUAGUAGCUGUUAAAGAUUUAUCGAUGUAAGCUGGGCAUGCGACCAAUUAGCUAGUUGGUGAGGUAAUGGCUCACCAAGGCUAUGAUUGGUAGGGGAACUGAGAGGUCAAUCCCCCACACUGGCACUGAGAUACGGGCCAGACUCCUACGGGAGGCAGCAGUAGGGAAUAUUGGGCAAUGGACGCAAGUCUGACCCAGCCAUGCCGCGUGCAGGAUGAAGGCGUUAUGCGUUGUAAACUGCUUUUAUACAGGAAGAAACGACUCUUGCGAGAGGCAUUGACGGUACUGUAUGAAUAAGCACCGGCUAACUCCGUGCCAGCAGCCGCGGUAAUACGGAGGGUGCAAGCGUUGUCCGGAUUUAUUGGGUUUAAAGGGUGCGCAGGUGGUUUAUUAAGUCAGUGGUGAAAGACGGUCGCUCAACGAUUGCAGUGCCAUUGAAACUGGUAGACUUGAGUAAAGUAGAGGUGGGCGGAAUUGAUAGUGUAGCGGUGAAAUGCAUAGAUAUUAUCAAGAACUCCAAUUGCGUANGCAGCUCACUUGGCUUUUACUGACACUCAUGCACGAAAGUGUGGGUAUCAAACAGGAUUAGAUACCCUGGUAGUCCACACUGUAAACGAUGAUAACU
RNAcentral lists this ribosomal RNA (799 nucleotides) under uncultured bacterium. RNAcentral describes it as "bacterial SSU rRNA". It matches the Rfam family "Bacterial small subunit ribosomal RNA", at positions 8 to 817 of the family's 1533-position model. The record is from RNAcentral.